GCGGUUAGCUUCGUAGAGAGCCUGCGGAGGAUCAUUA
Molecule: ribosomal RNA, 37 nt
Filed under: uncultured Cenococcum
Lineage: Eukaryota; Fungi; Ascomycota; Dothideomycetes; Gloniales; Gloniaceae
Description: partial 18S ribosomal RNA
Source: RNAcentral